GUGAAUCAUCGAAUCUUUGAACGCAAAUUGCACUCUCUGGUAUUCCGGAGAGUAUGCCUGUUUGAGAGUCAGUUUAAAUAAAAAUCGGUGUGUUUGCGUCCGUUCGUGGUGACGCACCGGAUUUGAGUCGUCUUGCCUACGGUUAAGUGACCUAAAAUUUUUCAUGAAUUUUUUCUUACGUAUUUAAAUGAUUGUGCGUACGUUUGCGAUAUCUAGUACUAGGGG
RNAcentral lists this unclassified non-coding RNA (225 nucleotides) under Glomeraceae sp. Its description in RNAcentral is "partial contains 5.8S ribosomal RNA and internal transcribed spacer 2". The stretch from base 1 to 71 matches the Rfam family "5.8S ribosomal RNA", at positions 84 to 154 of the family's 154-position model. Lineage: Eukaryota; Fungi; Glomeromycota; Glomeromycetes; Glomerales; Glomeraceae. The record is from RNAcentral.